Hyaena hyaena (striped hyena) is the source of this 107-nucleotide small nuclear RNA. The record is from RefSeq and is a predicted model, not a curated record. NCBI's taxonomy places the organism in Eukaryota, Metazoa, Chordata, Mammalia, Carnivora, Hyaenidae.
GUGCUUGCUUCGGCAGCACAUCUACUAAAAUUGGAACGGUACAGAGAAGAUCAGCAUCGUCCCUGCAUAAGGAAGACACGCAGCUUCCUGAGAUAUGCUCUGAGGCA